This 564-nucleotide ribosomal RNA is filed under the name uncultured archaeon. RNAcentral's name for it is "bacterial SSU rRNA". It matches the Rfam family "Archaeal small subunit ribosomal RNA", at positions 315 to 879 of the family's 1478-position model. The record is from RNAcentral.
CGCGAAUCGCCCUUGGUGCAGCAGGCGCGAAAACUUUACAAUGCUGGAAACAGCGAUAAGGGGACCUCGAGUGCCAGGUUACAAAUCUGGCUGUCGUGAUGCCUAAAAAGCAUUGCAUAGCAAGGGCCGGGCAAGACCGGUGCCAGCCGCCGCGGUAACACCGGCGGCUCGAGUGGUAACCGUUAUUAUUGGGUCUAAAGGGUCUGUAGCCGGCCGGAUAAGUCUCUUGGGAAAUCCAGCAGCUCAACUGUUGGGCUUUCAGGAGAUACUGUCUGGCUCGAGGCCGGGAGAGGUGAGAGGUACUUCAGGGGUAGGGGUGAAAUCUUGUAAUCCUUGAAGGACCACCAGUGGCGAAGGCGUCUCACCAGAACGGACCUGACGGCAAGGGACGAAAGCUAGGGGCACGAACCGGAUUAGAUACCCGGGUAGUCCUAGCCGUAAACGAUACUCGCUAGGUGUCGGCCACGGUGCGACCGUUGUCGGUGCCGUAGGGAAGCCGUGAAGCGAGCCACCUGGGAAGUACGGCCGCAAGGCUGAAACUUAAAGGAAUUGGCGGGGGAGCAC